GAUGAACGCUGGCGGCGUGCCUAAUACAUGCAAGUCGAGCGAACGGACGAGAAGCUUGCUUCUCUGAUGUUAGCGGCGGACGGGUGAGUAACACGUGGAUAACCUACCUAUAAGACUGGGAUAACUUCGGGAAACCGGAGCUAAUACCGGAUGAUAUUUUGAACCGCAUGGUUCAAAAGUGAAAGACGGUCUUGCUGUCACUUAUAGAUGGAUCCGCGCUGCAUUAGCUAGUUGGUAAGGUAACGGCCUACCAAGGCAACGAGGCAUAGCCGACCUGAGAGGGUGAUCGGCCACACUGGAACUGAGACACGGUCCAGACUCCUACGGGAGGCAGCAGUAGGGAAUCUUCCGCAAUGGGCGAAAGCCUGACGGAGCAACGCCGCGUGAGUGAUGAAGGUCUUCGGAUCGUAAAACUCUGUUAUUAGGGAAGAACAUAUGUGUAAGUAACUGUGCACAUCUUGACGGUAACUAAUCAGAAAGCCACGGCUAACUACGUG
This 497-nucleotide ribosomal RNA is filed under the name uncultured bacterium. RNAcentral describes it as "partial 16S ribosomal RNA". It matches the Rfam family "Bacterial small subunit ribosomal RNA", at positions 28 to 507 of the family's 1533-position model. The record is from RNAcentral.